CUGAACUCCAGUAGGGCCCAAGCCAGCCAGGAAGGAGGAGGCAGCCAGAGAGGCCUCCACUGUUCUCUGCAGCAGAAGACUCCCUGCUGCCAGGUGUUUCGAUGUCUACUGGAGACCAAAGCAGAACGUGCCGAUGGACCCAGCAUGAUUCCCAUCAAUCUUGUAUCAUUUUCAUUAGACGGUCAGAGUACAAGUCACCAUUAUUUUAUGCUGUCUGUCCAUGGACUGGAAUAGUGCAAGCACCCCCAACCCUCUGAUGAGCAGCACACCCAGAACCGUACAGAUCUCCAUCCGUGAUGUGUCAUCUCCACUGCCAUUUUUGAGAAGGUAAGAACCACCAGGAAUCGUUUCUGAGCAGCCAGAGAGGGCUCCCCCUGUUUCUUACCAUCUCCAUUCCCCAGUGCAAAUGACAGAAAACUCGCUUCUCUCCUAAGCCCUCUUCCUGUGUGCCAGGAAAAGGAUCUGAGGGAAGAGAGGGGAUUGGUGAUGACCACAAAUAAAGGAAGGAGCUAACCCUAAAUUGUAGGUCCCUGUUUAUCUUUGUCAUUCUUACAGUUAAAAAGCUGUGCUCCAAGCUGGGUCUGUUAAAAUACAACUUUGAUACCGUCAGAAGUCUUUGGGUGAUGCUAGCUGUUUACAAGUCCCAACAGCUGCUACAGCUUCUUGUGAAAAGCUUGCUUAUUUAUUACAGCUAUUUAUUGAAUGUAUAUACUGAUUUUCCAUAAGAUACUCAAAACAAGCAGAACCAACAAAAUUAAAAACAACCAAUCAUAAAAAUGCAAAUAUCACAUAAGCAAAAUAACAAUAAAAUCCAGAGUCAGCAUGAGAACGCCUGCCUGAACAAAAACCACAUAGUUCUAAGUAGAACGAAUGGAGCCGACUUUCCACUUCUUUUGACUUAAUCUUAACUGAAGACCCCCUCCACGUACUGUGAAUUUGGUUUGUAUCUGACCGUCAACACAUGGGUUAUAGAGGGGUGUUGCCUAUACUCUGAAUGGCCACCAUUUUGAGACAUACGCCCAAUGGGAUCCUCUAGAACUCCUUUCCCUAUGCUGUGAAUUUAGCUUGUAUUGGAUGCAAAUGUUAUUAGAAGGUAACACACAGAGACAUGAUCUCAUAAGCCCGGUGGUUCAGCGGUGGCUAGCCUGCCUAAAUACCCCACCUCUAUAACAAGGUUAGCAGAGCAAGCGCGCGCGCUAACCCCGUUUCUGUGAUUGUGAGUUGCCGUGGUACGGCUACCGCGCUGCAGCAACUCACAAGGAGACCCCUGACCAGGAGGCAACAACAAGCCUCCCGGUGUCAAGGGUCUCCCUAGAA
Hemicordylus capensis (graceful crag lizard) is the source of this 1317-nucleotide long non-coding RNA. RefSeq lists it as uncharacterized. The transcript has 3 exons. Lineage: Eukaryota; Metazoa; Chordata; Lepidosauria; Squamata; Cordylidae. The record is from RefSeq and is a predicted model, not a curated record.